CUGUACUGUGCAGGCUUGAUGGGCAUCCAUGUGUAAUGGCCAAGCCUGUGGGAAAGGAGAAAAUCCUUCCCUGGAGACAUCCAGUGGGAGACAUCCAGAAGGGCAUUCUGCUGAGGACAUUGUGGGUGGAUCAUUCAACAUAGCCUUUAAGAUAUUUGUUUUUAAUGAGAGGAUAAUUGCUUUACCAUGCUUGUGGGCGUUUCUGCUGUAUAGCCAUGUUCACACACCAACAAUAAGGAGAAAGGAAUAUCAUGGUAGAAUCCUCUUUCCAAACUAAGAUACUUGAUACGGUACAAAUUUAGCAGGUCCUUGAAAAAUUACAGUUUGGCAGCAUUUUACUCGUGUUUAUAAUUUGUGAUUCCCGAAUCCCUGGGGCAGAACUCAAGCUACUGAAGAUCUGGAGAGGAAAGACUUUUGCAGGCCUGCAGGUGGUGAACGCUGUGAUUCUCCUGUUCAGGUACGAUGGUUACAAAGAGUCAAGAACAUGAUCCUUUCUCCAAGCAGAGAACCCCAUCUGGGGCAAUGCUGACAAUGGCUGGAUGUCUUAGAGCUCUGGGGAUGGGUCAGGGCAGCGUCACCGGUCCUUCGCCUGUGCUGCUGGCUUGUUAAGUGACAUCAGACCCGCCUUGAAGGACCUGGCAGUGGGGGGAUACCCAGAUCCUGAGAACACUUGUGAGGUGCGUGUUCGGGAGGGCUCAGAGAGAGGUUUCUGUGGGAUGCUCCGAGAGGCCUCUGGGUGGGAUUUCUCAGAGUGGGUGUGUGGGAGGUCCCCAUGUGGGGUCAGUGUGGGUCUCUGUGUGGGGACACAGUGGGGGACACCCCAUUGCUGACCGUUCUGCCCACGAAGGCAGGCGAAGGGCUCGGGGAUUUGCUCCUUCUUGUUUCUUGUUCUGUCGGUGUUUGCGGGGAGAGAGCAAAUUGGCCAAGAUUGCGUGUUCAGGUUCUCUCGCCCCACAUUUUGUAAAUAAUGACUAUGUAACAGCUGAGAUCAUUUAUAGCACUGCACAUGCCCGUCACGAGACACUUUCUUGGUCAUGGACUGCUUUAUGCAGUACGUCUGUAGAAGCUUCACCUGGAAAAGCCUGGAAGGGUUGUUGUGUUAGGUUAUGCUAUGACUGCUGCAUCAGCCAGGAGAGAAUAAAUGUGUCCUACAGCUCCUCGAGUAUUCUUCCAGCAUCUCAGCUCACGCCUUGCCUACCCGGGGUUCAACGAACAGUACAGACAGUGUGAACAGGAAGAAAAUCGGCGUCACGAACAGGAUCAGCAGUACAGUGUCCUUCUGUUUCAUUGCUCUGGGCCGGUGCCUAGCGGGCCCGGAACCCCCACACAGCACUCUCCUCUCGAUGCCCCUCAGAGGACCUGGCAGCAUCCAGGCUCAAGGUUCCUGCUCUGGGCCCCCCUCUCCUGAGCUCUGGCGGUCACUCUGUGACCUAGGUCCCAGCCAUUCCCUCUGGCCCCAGCUGAGUCCCCGCUGCCGCGCCCACCCUGCAGGAUGAGACCCAGAGUCAAGACCUGGAUCAAGGGAGAAACCACAGUGUAAGCAGGCCUGUGCCCACUCUCACACCCCACCCAGGUCCUGGCCCCACCUGUGGGGGUUCUGACAGGCGUGGGGACAGGACAAUUCCUGCUGCCUCCUGGAUCAGGGGAGCCCCCUGGAGCAGGACUCUCCACCGUGGGAGUGACUGACAUGGAGCCCUGAAUUGCUCUAGGCAAUUGCUCCUGUCUCCCGGCUUUCUUGUGCAAAAAGGCCUGGGGAGGAAAGCUGACAGCACCCUUGUUCCCCACAGGUCACUUCCUACCCGCUGGGUAACACAUCCAGUCUGCUAGUCCUUUCUCCAUCUGGGCUCUGUGGUGAGCAAGGCUCAGGGCAGGCGAGACUGGCUACAACUCUAGCACAGUCCCUGGGCCUGUUGAGGCCCACCUGUUCCCUGGCAGCCUCCUUGGGCCACAUGAGUAAGGUAGAGGUCACGGACCGCGAGUCUGUCCCGAGCUCCCUGUCCUGUGAAAGCUGAUUAUUUACACUGUGGAGAAGUGAAGCUUCCCUGCUCAGAGGCUCCACUGCCUCUGGGAGCCUGGCCCUCUGUGAGCCUGGCCCUCUGUGGAGGAGCUCCAGCUCGCCUCACACAGUCUGAGCUCUGGGAACUGGAAUAGAGGGGAGACUCUGGGGUGGGGCCACCAGGAGCCACCGGGGCCCCUAAUUUCUUUCCUCUGGGCCUGUAGUUGUGGUGGGUUGCCAGGGGCUCCUUGGUC
Molecule: non-coding RNA, 2250 nt
Organism: Odocoileus virginianus texanus
Lineage: Eukaryota; Metazoa; Chordata; Mammalia; Artiodactyla; Cervidae
Source: RefSeq, a predicted model, not a curated record